GCUGGGUGUGGUGGCCCAUGCCUGUAAUCCCAGCUACUCAGGAGGCUGAGGCAGGAGAAUUGCUUGAACCUGGGAGGCAGAGGUUGCAGUGAGCCGAGAUUGUGCCACUGCACUCCAGCCUGGGUGACAGAGCAAGACUCCGUCUCAA
Callithrix jacchus (white-tufted-ear marmoset) is the source of this 148-nucleotide unclassified non-coding RNA. It matches the Rfam family "Metazoan signal recognition particle RNA". From Rfam's summary of the family: The signal recognition particle (SRP) is a universally conserved ribonucleoprotein. It is involved in the co-translational targeting of proteins to membranes. Lineage: Eukaryota; Metazoa; Chordata; Mammalia; Primates; Cebidae. The record is from Ensembl.